Molecule: non-coding RNA, 686 nt
Organism: Lactuca sativa (garden lettuce)
Lineage: Eukaryota; Viridiplantae; Streptophyta; Magnoliopsida; Asterales; Asteraceae
Source: RefSeq, a predicted model, not a curated record
ACCCUAAUUGUGCCUUUUUCUCGAUCCAACAUCUUCGUCUUCAAAAAAAAUGGCGGACCACCACCAUCCACGUCCACAACUGACACCAUCAUCGUACUAACAUACCACUACUAGCACUAACCAUCUCUGAACAGGCACUGCCACUCAAGACACAACCGUUCACGUCCGUCGUACCCAUCGUCCCCUUUUCUGCCGCCCAUAUUUAUAUUCAGAACCAUCAUCGACGUCCUAUUUCAUAUGUUUUUUUCGAGCAGAUGCAUCAAGAAUUUAAGUUACAGAUUAGCAGAUGCAUCAAGAUUUUAAAUUCCAAGUUUUGAUCGAUGAUUAUAGAAAGUAAUCUCUAUUCAUGGUUUUAGAAUCAGUCAUGCAUCGACUCAAAAGGAAAAAGAAAGGAUUCGGGUACGGUUGUAACCAGAAAAAAGAAUCAUAAAGGCGAGUGUUGAAAGUAAAACCAGGUAAAAAUAGGAAAUGUGAUGCGCAAUAAUGAAGGUUGAAGGUUUAAUCUCUCAUUAUUGUCUUCUCUCAUAAGUCAUAUCAAUGUGACUUUACCCCAAACCCCAAAAUAAAGUAUUUAUUUAUUGUUUUUAUGAAUUUUGUUUAAUGAAUACAUAUUGUAUAUAUUUCAAAUAAUAGGUAUCUUUAUUGUUGUUACUUUGAAUAUUAGUCCAUAGUGGAGAAUGAUUAUA